GUGGGGAAUUUUGGACAAUGGGCGCAAGCCUGAUCCAGCAAUGCCGCGUGCAGGAAGAAGGCCUUCGGGUUGUAAACUGCUUUUGUACGGAACGAAACGGUCCGGGUUAAUACCCUGGGCUAAUGACGGUACCGUAAGAAUAAGCACCGGCUAACUACGUGCCAGCAGCCGCGGUAAUACGUAGGGUGCAAGCGUUAAUCGGAAUUACUGGGCGUAAAGCGUGCGCAGGCGGUUUUGUAAGACAGGCGUGAAAUCCCCGGGCUCAACCUGGGAACUGCAUUUGUGACUGUAUAGCUAGAGUACGGUAGAGGGGGAUGGAAUUCCGCGUGUAGCAGUGAAAUGCGUAGAUAUGCGGAGGAACACCGAUGGCGAAGGCAAUCCCCUGGACCUGUACUGACGCUCAUGCACGAAAGCGUGGGGAGCAAACAGGAUUAGAUACCCUGGUAGUCC
This 450-nucleotide ribosomal RNA is filed under the name uncultured bacterium. RNAcentral's name for it is "bacterial SSU rRNA". It matches the Rfam family "Bacterial small subunit ribosomal RNA", at positions 354 to 796 of the family's 1533-position model. The record is from RNAcentral.